This 497-nucleotide ribosomal RNA is filed under the name uncultured bacterium. Its description in RNAcentral is "partial 16S ribosomal RNA". It matches the Rfam family "Bacterial small subunit ribosomal RNA", at positions 356 to 842 of the family's 1533-position model. The record is from RNAcentral.
AGGGAAUCUUCCACAAUGGGCGCAAGCCUGAUGGAGCAACACCGCGUGAGUGAAGAAGGGUUUCGGCUCGUAAAGCUCUGUUGUUAAAGAAGAACACGUAUGAGAGUAACUGUUCAUACGUUGACGGUAUUUAACCAGAAAGUCACGGCUAACUACGUGCCAGCAGCCGCGGUAAUACGUAGGUGGCAAGCGUUAUCCGGAUUUAUUGGGCGUAAAGAGAGUGCAGGCGGUUUUCUAAGUCUGAUGUGAAAGCCUUCGGCUUAACCGGAGAAGUGCAUCGGAAACUGGAUAACUUGAGUGCAGAAGAGGGUAGUGGAACUCCAUGUGUAGCGGUGGAAUGCGUAGAUAUAUGGAAGAACACCAGUGGCGAAGGCGGCUACCUGGUCUGCAACUGACGCUGAGACUCGAAAGCAUGGGUAGCGAACAGGAUUAGAUACCCUUGGUAGUCCAUGCCGUAAACGAUGAGUGCUAGGUGUUGGAGGGUUUUCCGCCCUUCA